RNAcentral lists this long non-coding RNA (233 nucleotides) under Junco hyemalis (dark-eyed junco). RNAcentral describes it as "lncRNA (ENSJHYG00000004922.1)". The record is from RNAcentral. Lineage: Eukaryota; Metazoa; Chordata; Aves; Passeriformes; Passerellidae.
CGCAGCGCGGCGGCGGGGCGGCCGCGGCGCCGCGCGGGGGGAGCCGCGCAGCAGCCCCUGCCCCGAGCGAAGCACGGCGUAGGAUGUCCUCCAAGAUUAAAGCUAGUCCUAAGAGCAACCGAAUUGCUGUGACUGACUUUCACGGGACUGUAAAGAGAGGUGCAUGUUGGAGCAGCCAUAAGGGUGAAGUUCAACAGUGACCUUUCUUUAGAAGAUGUCAUGAUUGCAGAAGG